Molecule: long non-coding RNA, 1280 nt
Organism: Suricata suricatta (meerkat)
Lineage: Eukaryota; Metazoa; Chordata; Mammalia; Carnivora; Herpestidae
Exons: 4
Source: RefSeq, a predicted model, not a curated record
UGAGCACCACCGAGUCCCACCGAGUCCCUCUGAGGCCUUACUAAGUACUCGGGGAGGCCGAGGCACAAGAGAGGUCCCUUGCUACACCAGGUCACAUGGACCCAGGUUUGGAGGAACCAGGGCCUUCACAGGUCACUUGUCUGCCCUUUGCUGAUCUGCAAAGCUCUGAUGAGAAGGACUUUGUGCCUGGGAGUGUCAUCAGUCAGGGCCUCGGUCUCCGGUCUCCGGGAAGUCUGCCCACAGGUCAGACGGUGGAAAUCGAUGGGGGCAGGGCACACAGACUGAGAAAGGGACAGUUCCCUGUUGGCUGGUUCAGAGCUGCCCCGUGGUCCGUGGCUGGGCCCCAGUGGGGGCCCGGCGGAGGGAAGGUGCCUGGCUCCCAUCCUGGUGACGACAGCAAAACCUCGCAGGUGCAGAUAAUGACGUCACGUUAAGGCGUGGAACUCACAGCGGUGCCACAGGGCAGCUGGGUCCCUCCGCAUUGUACACUGAAGACACCAAGGGCCGGAAAUGAUCUCAUUCAGCUGAGGAUCUCCAAGAGGGAGCAAGACCCAGGCUGUCCGAGCCCAGAUCCAUUCUGCCAUCUGCACCGGCCCCAGGGCACCCCCAGAGGUGGGCUGCCGGGUCCGGAAGCCAGCGCUCCCCUAGCCCAAUAACCCAGCAGAUACAGGAACCCUGUGUUAGGGAUGAGUCUUGGCCCCGGCCCUGUGGGGUGGCAGUAGCAGGUGCAGACGCAGGAACCCAGAGGCGGCCUGGAGGGGCGUUUGGCUCGAGUCCGUCAGAUUCGUAAACAAGAAUAAAUGGCUUGGACGAAUGACUUGACCUCCGGACUGAACUUCCUCAUCUAUAAAAUGGGAAAGUGACGGCUAUCUCCGUGGGCCCUGGGGUGAGAAUCAGCAGGGCGCGUGCAGGACGUGCAGGGCCCGGACCUGAUAGGUGAGUCGCGGUCAGGAUUUGGUGACCACCUGCCUGAGGGCUCUGCCAAGGGUCACGUCCUCCAGGAAGCCUGCUUGGUGCCCACCUCACCGGCGAAGCCUCCCCCCGUGUAGCUUUCGUCUAGCGCAGCUCUGUCUACAAGGUGUCCCUCCCCUCGCCGGCCUGGCCGCUGCCCUCGGGCCUCUCAGAUGGCAGGCAGGGGGCCUAUGGUUUUGCUCCCUCCUGGGACCCUCAGGUCUCCCCUGGUCUCUGCCUUGUCCAGCUGAGUCCUUCCAGCUGGUUGAGGCAGCAAGGACCGGAGCCCAAGAAGUCCGCCGCCCCCCCCCCGACCCCCCCCCCGUCCC